RNAcentral lists this ribosomal RNA (497 nucleotides) under uncultured bacterium. RNAcentral's name for it is "partial 16S ribosomal RNA". It matches the Rfam family "Bacterial small subunit ribosomal RNA", at positions 28 to 507 of the family's 1533-position model. The record is from RNAcentral.
GAUGAACGCUGGCGGCGUGCCUAAUACAUGCAAGUCGAGCGAACGGACGAGAAGCUUGCUUCUCUGAUGUUAGCGGCGGACGGGUGAGUAACACGUGGAUAACCUACCUAUAAGACUGGGAUAACUUCGGGAAACCGGAGCUAAUACCGGAUAAUAUUUUGAACCGCAUGGUUCAAAAGUGAAAGACGGUCUUGCUGUCACUUAUAGAUGGAUCCGCGCUGCAUUAGCUAGUUGGUAAGGUAACGGCUUAGCAAGGCAACGAUGCAUAGCCGACCUGAGAGGGUGAUCGGCCGCCCUGGAGCUGAGACGCGGUCCAGAGUACUACGGGAGGCAGCAGUAGGGAAUCUGACGCAAUGGUGGAAAGCCUGACGGAGCAACGCCGCGUGAGUGAUGAAGGUCUUCGGAUCGUAAAACUCUGUUAUUAGGGAAGAACAUAUGUGUAAGUAGCUGUGCGCAUCUUGACGGUAACUAAUCAGAAAGCCACGGCUAACUACGUG